RNAcentral lists this ribosomal RNA (579 nucleotides) under Diplodia corticola. RNAcentral describes it as "partial large subunit ribosomal RNA". It matches the Rfam family "Eukaryotic large subunit ribosomal RNA", at positions 95 to 697 of the family's 3401-position model. Lineage: Eukaryota; Fungi; Ascomycota; Dothideomycetes; Botryosphaeriales; Botryosphaeriaceae. The record is from RNAcentral.
GAAGCGGCAACAGCUCAAAUUUGAAAUCUGGCUCUCGGGCCCGAGUUGUAAUUUGUAGAGGAUACUUUUGAUGCGGUGCCUUCCGAGUUCCCUGGAACGGGACGCCAUAGAGGGUGAGAGCCCCGUCUGGUUGGAUGCCAAAUCUCUGUAAAGUUCCUUCAACGAGUCGAGUAGUUUGGGAAUGCUGCUCUAAAUGGGAGGUAUAUGUCUUCUAAAGCUAAAUACCGGCCAGAGACCGAUAGCGCACAAGUAGAGUGAUCGAAAGAUGAAAAGCACUUUGAAAAGAGAGUUAAAAAGUACGUGAAAUUGUUGAAAGGGAAGCGUUUAUGACCAGACUUGGGCUUGGUUAAUCAUCUGGGGUUCUCCCCAGUGCACUUUUCCAGUCCAGGCCAGCAUCAGUUUUCCCCGGGGGAUAAAGGCGGCGGGAAUGUGGCUCUCUUCGGGGAGUGUUAUAGCCCACCGUGUAAUACCCUGGGGGGGACUGAGGUUCGCGCAUCUGCAAGGAUGCUGGCGUAAUGGUCAUCAACGACCCGUCUUGAAACACGGACCAAGGAGUCGUCUUCGUAUGCGAGUGUUUGG